RNAcentral lists this ribosomal RNA (993 nucleotides) under Curtobacterium sp. RNAcentral's name for it is "bacterial SSU rRNA". It matches the Rfam family "Bacterial small subunit ribosomal RNA", at positions 439 to 1438 of the family's 1533-position model. Lineage: Bacteria; Bacillati; Actinomycetota; Actinomycetes; Micrococcales; Microbacteriaceae. The record is from RNAcentral.
GUAGGGAAGAAAGCGAAAAGUGACGGUACCUGCAGAAAAAAGCACCGGGCAAAUUACGUGCCAGCAGCCGCGGUAAUACGUAGGGUGCAAGCGUUGUCCGGAAUUAUUGGGCGUAAAGAGCUCGUAGGCGGUUUGUCGCGUCUGCUGUGAAAUCCCGAGGCUCAACCUCGGGCUUGCAGUGGGUACGGGCAGACUAGAGUGCGGUAGGGGAGAUUGGAAUUCCUGGUGUAGCGGUGGAAUGCGCAGAUAUCAGGAGGAACACCGAUGGCGAAGGCAGAUCUCUGGGCCGUAACUGACGCUGAGGAGCGAAAGCGUGGGGAGCGAACAGGAUUAGAUACCCUGGUAGUCCACGCCGUAAACGUUGGGCGCUAGAUGUAGGGACCUUUCCACGGUUUCUGUGUCGUAGCUAACGCAUUAAGCGCCCCGCCUGGGGAGUACGGCCGCAAGGCUAAAACUCAAAGGAAUUGACGGGGGCCCGCACAAGCGGCGGAGCAUGCGGAUUAAUUCGAUGCAACGCGAAGAACCUUACCAAGGCUUGACAUACACCGGAAACGGCCAGAGAUGGUCGCCCCCUUGUGGUCGGUGUACAGGUGGUGCAUGGUUGUCGUCAGCUCGUGUCGUGAGAUGUUGGGUUAAGUCCCGCAACGAGCGCAACCCUCGUUCUAUGUUGCCAGCGCGUUAUGGCGGGGACUCAUAGGAGACUGCCGGGGUCAACUCGGAGGAAGGUGGGGAUGACGUCAAAUCAUCAUGCCCCUUAUGUCUUGGGCUUCACGCAUGCUACAAUGGCCGGUACAAAGGGCUGCGAUACCGUAAGGUGGAGCGAAUCCCAAAAAGACCGGUCUCAGUUCGGAUUGAGGUCUGCAACUCGACCUCAUGAAGUCGGAGUCGCUAGUAAUCGCAGAUCAGCAACGCUGCGGUGAAUACGUUCCCGGGCCUUGUACACACCGCCCGUCAAGUCAUGAAAGUCGGUAACACCCGAAGCCGGUGGCCUAA